This 712-nucleotide ribosomal RNA is filed under the name Bacillus cereus. RNAcentral's name for it is "bacterial SSU rRNA". It matches the Rfam family "Bacterial small subunit ribosomal RNA", at positions 38 to 730 of the family's 1533-position model. Lineage: Bacteria; Bacillati; Bacillota; Bacilli; Caryophanales; Bacillaceae. The record is from RNAcentral.
GGGGGGGUGCCUAAUACAUGCAAGUCGAGCGAAUGGAUUAAGAGCUUGCUCUUAUGAAGUUAGCGGCGGACGGGUGAGUAACACGUGGGUAACCUGCCCAUAAGACUGGGAUAACUCCGGGAAACCGGGGCUAAUACCGGAUAACAUUUUGAACCGCAUGGUUCGAAAUUGAAAGGCGGCUUCGGCUGUCACUUAUGGAUGGACCCGCGUCGCAUUAGCUAGUUGGUGAGGUAACGGCUCACCAAGGCAACGAUGCGUAGCCGACCUGAGAGGGUGAUCGGCCACACUGGGACUGAGACACGGCCCAGACUCCUACGGGAGGCAGCAGUAGGGAAUCUUCCGCAAUGGACGAAAGUCUGACGGAGCAACGCCGCGUGAGUGAUGAAGGCUUUCGGGUCGUAAAACUCUGUUGUUAGGGAAGAACAAGUGCUAGUUGAAUAAGCUGGCACCUUGACGGUACCUAACCAGAAAGCCACGGCUAACUACGUGCCAGCAGCCGCGGUAAUACGUAGGUGGCAAGCGUUAUCCGGAAUUAUUGGGCGUAAAGCGCGCGCAGGUGGUUUCUUAAGUCUGAUGUGAAAGCCCACGGCUCAACCGUGGAGGGUCAUUGGAAACUGGGAGACUUGAGUGCAGAAGAGGAAAGUGGAAUUCCAUGUGUAGCGGUGAAAUGCGUAGAGAUAUGGAGGAACACCAGUGGCGAAGGCGACUUUCU